RNAcentral lists this ribosomal RNA (253 nucleotides) under uncultured bacterium. RNAcentral describes it as "partial 16S ribosomal RNA". It matches the Rfam family "Bacterial small subunit ribosomal RNA", at positions 524 to 776 of the family's 1533-position model. The record is from RNAcentral.
UACAGAGGGUGCAAGCGUUAAUCGGAAUUACUGGGCGUAAAGCGCACGUAGGCGGUUUUUUAAGUCAGAUGUGAAAGCCCCGGGCUCAACCUGGGAAUUGCAUUUGAAACUGGGAAACUAGAGUGUGUGAGAGGGGGGUAGAAUUCCAAGUGUAGCGGUGAAAUGCGUAGAGAUUUGGAGAAAUACCAGUGGCGAAGGCGGCCCCCUGGCACAACACUGACGCUCAGGUGCGAAAGCGUGGGGAGCAAACAGG